This 74-nucleotide transfer RNA is filed under the name Streptococcus pyogenes. Its description in RNAcentral is "tRNA-Gln(ttg)". It matches the Rfam family "tRNA". Rfam says of the family: Transfer RNA (tRNA) molecules are approximately 80 nucleotides in length. Their secondary structure includes four short double-helical elements and three loops (D, anti-codon, and T loops). The record is from RNAcentral. RNAcentral also lists the same sequence under 2 other names. Lineage: Bacteria; Bacillati; Bacillota; Bacilli; Lactobacillales; Streptococcaceae.
UUGGGGUAUAGCCAAGCGGUAAGGCAAGGGACUUUGACUCCCUCAUACGUUGGUUCGAAUCCAGCUACCCCAGU